CAAAAGGUUCUUUUCAGAGCCACCCACAAUGAUCAUAAAGGGUGG
Non-coding RNA from Nipponia nippon (crested ibis), 45 nucleotides. Lineage: Eukaryota; Metazoa; Chordata; Aves; Pelecaniformes; Threskiornithidae. The record is from Rfam.